UUUAACCUGGAUUGUAGGACCUUGUGUGUGUGAACACAGGGAUGGAGAACUCCCUCAGAGGGCCCCGACCAGGAACCAGUCUUACCGGUCAGGCAGCCCCUGCCCACCUGCUCAGGCGGGCAUCUGGCUUACCAGCCCAGCUGGGGACUUAAGGCUCCACUGCUGGCCUCUGGGGACUGAAUUCCAUCCGGGUGGCAUUCAUUGGCUGCCCGUGGCGGGAGAGGCUGGGGGAGGGGAUUGCUGAGUUUCUAAGGGGCUUUAGUCUGGACAAUGAAUCACAUAUCCCCUCCUGGAAAGGCUGCAGUGAGGCAGCUCUGUUUCAUUCUACUGCCACCGCCUCUGGUCCUAGAAAACACUGAGUUUCUGGUGGGGAGAAUUGAGGGAGUGGGGAGGCAAAAUCAGAGACAAAUGCCCAUUUCUCUUCCCCCCUCCAGAGAAAACCAGGGCAGAGAGGCCUGGGCCUGUGGAGCCAGAACUGGGUGGUGACUUUGUCUUUGUCAUGCUGGGGUUGGGGAGAGGGAGUCCUUUCCAGCAGUGAGUGUGUGUGUGUGUGUACACACGUAUGCAUAUGUGCCUGUGUGGUGGGGUCUGGCCAAGUUUCUAAAGUCCCUCUUGGUUCUCUCUUUUCCAGGCCUGAUCACUUGAACGGACAUAUCAAGCAGGUGCACACUUCUGAGCGGCCUCACAAGUGUCAGGUGUGGGUUGGGAGCAGCAGCGGCCUGCCGCCCCUGGAACCUCUUCCUAGCGACCUGCCAUCAUGGGACUUUGCCCAGCCUGCUUUGUGGAGGUCGUCCCAUUCGGUUCCUGACACCGCCUUUUCCCUUUCUCUAAAAAAAUCAUUCCCAGCCCUUGAAAACCUGGGCCCAGCACACUCCAGCAACACUCUCUUCUGCCCAGCCCCGCCGGGAUAUCUGAGGCAGGGCUGGACCACCCCAGAGGGCAGCAGGGCCUUUACCCAGUGGCCUGUUGGCUAGCCUGGGCCUCCCUGGAGAGGGUUGACAGUGGAAGGGAACAGGAGGGGCAUUUGGCCUGAGACCCCUGCUUUUGGGAGAGGCUAGCAGGGUGGUUCCUGCCCAGCAUGCCCAGCUCCUCCCUGGGUGACUCGGAGUCUUUCCCAUGUCAGAGCCCCCAAAUGGGGGUAGCAAGGAGCACCUUUCUGGAACCCCCUAUAGCAUCCAAGUUUCUUUCUGGGCUCUCUUGCCUUUUCCCCCCUUUCACAGAUGGCACCCCUGGGCAUCUGUCCUUGCCUAGGUGAUUUUGGAGGUUGGUGCCUUCCUGGGAACUAGCCACCAGCUUAUCUGCUUCCCUUCCCCUGGCAUCACUUCCCAUAGGCCUGGGGUUUCUAGACUGGGGCCUGGCCACCCCUUUCCCCACUCCACGAGUGAGUCGGCCUCCAGAGAAGACUGGCACAAUUCCAACUAGAGUCAACCCAUGCUGCCCUCUGCCCUUCCCACUCAGAUCUAGAUCCUGCUUUCAUUUCUGGCUAGUGAAGUAGACUUUUGUGUUUUUGAGGUUUAUUAGCAGGUCUGCUCAGGAACCAAACUAAUGAGUAGCUUUAUAUUGGGCCACCCCAAUAUAUGGCUUUGGGGGCUGAAAAAGCAGAUGUAGACCCCCUCCCUCGGAUCCUUAUUGGUGUGCCCUUUAGCACUCCGCAGACUCUGCGGGGUGAACAGGAGUGAUGAUAAAAUUUUUCAUUCUAACA
This 1702-nucleotide long non-coding RNA is filed under the name Homo sapiens (human). RNAcentral describes it as "non-protein coding lnc-PIK3IP1-1:1". Lineage: Eukaryota; Metazoa; Chordata; Mammalia; Primates; Hominidae. The record is from RNAcentral.